RNAcentral lists this long non-coding RNA (256 nucleotides) under Vigna radiata. RNAcentral's name for it is "long non-coding RNA (VRAD_LNC000351)". Lineage: Eukaryota; Viridiplantae; Streptophyta; Magnoliopsida; Fabales; Fabaceae. The record is from RNAcentral.
UCAUGAUACCCAAUUAGGUGAAUAAAGAAAGGAUGAGAAUUAAUACAUCAAAUAAAUUUGCAUGAAUAUAAGAUAAUUGAUGCAGAAAAUAUAUUUACUUUUAUACUUUUAAGUCAGAGAAUAUCCAAAUAAUUAUAGUUUCCUUCGUCCAUAUAAAGUUUUGAUUUCAAAAUCAUGUAUACCAAGUCAGAUGUCACUAAUUUCUUAUUUCUGGAAAAUGAUAUUUUGACACCAAUUUUUUGAUACUAUUUUGACA